This 372-nucleotide ribosomal RNA is filed under the name uncultured organism. Its description in RNAcentral is "partial 16S ribosomal RNA". It matches the Rfam family "Bacterial small subunit ribosomal RNA", at positions 527 to 896 of the family's 1533-position model. The record is from RNAcentral.
GUAGGUGGCAAGCGUUGUCCGGAAUUAUUGGGCGUAAAGCGCGCGCAGGCGGUCCUUUAAGUCUGAUGUGAAAGCCCACGGCUCAACCGUGGAGGGUCAUUGGAAACUGGGGGACUUGAGUACAGAAGAGGAAAGCGGAAUUCCACGUGUAGCGGUGAAAUGCGUAGAGAUGUGGAGGAACACCAGUGGCGAAGGCGGCUUUCUGGUCUGUAGCUGACGCUGAGGCGCGAAAGCGUGGGGAGCAAACAGGAUUAGAUACCCUGGUAGUCCACGCCGUAAACGAUGAGUGCUAAGUGUUAGGGGGUUUCCGCCCCCCUUAGUGCUGCAGCUAACGCAUUAAGCACUCCGCCUGGGAGUACGGCCGCAAGGCUG